UGUGGCGCAUGCCACGCUUUUGAAAGAUGGUUUCGGCUAUCGCUUACAGAUGGGCCCGCGGUGCAUUAGCUAGUUGGUAGGGUAAUGGCCUACCAAGGCAACGAUGCAUAGCCGACCUGAGAGGGUGAUCGGCCACACUGGGACUGAGACACGGCCCAGACUCCUACGGGAGGCAGCAGUAGGGAAUCUUCCGCAAUGGACGAAAGUCUGACGGAGCAACGCCGCGUGUAUGAAGAAGGUUUUCGGAUCGUAAAGUACUGUUGUUAGAGAAGAACAAGGAUAAGAGUAACUGCUUGUCCCUUGACGGUAUCUAACCAGAAAGCCACGGCUAACUACGUGCCAGCAGCCGCGGUAAUACGUAGGUGGCAAGCGUUGUCCGGAUUUAUUGGGCGUAAAGCGCGCGCAGGCGGUCUUUUAAGUCUGAUGUGAAAGCCCCCGGCUUAACCGGGGAGGGUCAUUGGAAACUGGAAGACUGGAGUGCAGAAGAGGAGAGUGGAAUUCCACGUGUAGCGGUGAAAUGCGUAGAUAUGUGGAGGAACACCAGUGGCGAAGGCGACUCUCUGGUCUGUAACUGACGCUGAGGCGCGAAAGCGUGGGGAGCAAACAGGA
Molecule: ribosomal RNA, 609 nt
Filed under: Listeria monocytogenes
Lineage: Bacteria; Bacillati; Bacillota; Bacilli; Caryophanales; Listeriaceae
Description: bacterial SSU rRNA
Rfam family: Bacterial small subunit ribosomal RNA
Source: RNAcentral